RNAcentral lists this ribosomal RNA (497 nucleotides) under uncultured bacterium. Its description in RNAcentral is "partial 16S ribosomal RNA". It matches the Rfam family "Bacterial small subunit ribosomal RNA", at positions 28 to 507 of the family's 1533-position model. The record is from RNAcentral.
GAUGAACGCUGGCGGCGUGCCUAAUACAUGCAAGUCGAGCGAACGGACGAGAAGCUUGCUUCUCUGAUGUUAGCGGCGGACGGGUGAGUAACACGUGGAUAACCUACCUAUAAGACUGGGAUAACUUCGGGAAACCGGAGCUAAUACCGGAUAAUAUUUUGAACCGCAUGGUUCAAAAGUGAAAGACGGUCUUGCUGUCACUUAUAGAUGGAUCCGCGCUGCAUUAGCUAGUUGGUAAGGUAACGGCUUACCAAGGCAACGAUGCAUAGCCGACCUGAGAGGGUGAUCGGCCAAACGGGAACUGAGACACGGGCCAGACUCCUACGGGAGGCAGCAGUAGGGAAUCUUCCGCAAUGGGCGAAAGCCUGACGGAGCAACGCCGCGUGAGGGAUGAAGGUCUUCGGAUCGUAAAACUCUGUUAUUAGGGAAGAAAAUAUGUGUAAGUAACUGUGCACAUCUUGACGGUACCUAAUCAGAAAGCCACGGCUAACUACGUG